UCUGAUUUAACAUAUAUUUAAUGUGAGAGAUUGUAAAUCUCUUUAAAGUAAAAUUGCUAAUCAGGA
Molecule: transfer RNA, 66 nt
Filed under: Rodentolepis nana
Lineage: Eukaryota; Metazoa; Platyhelminthes; Cestoda; Cyclophyllidea; Hymenolepididae
Description: tRNA-Tyr
Source: RNAcentral